RNAcentral lists this ribosomal RNA (458 nucleotides) under Tegula funebralis. Its description in RNAcentral is "Chlorostoma funebralis partial 12S ribosomal RNA". The record is from RNAcentral. Lineage: Eukaryota; Metazoa; Mollusca; Gastropoda; Trochida; Tegulidae.
UUGAGAUGUAAAAUUUGAUUACAAGUAAUUUACUUGAGUAUUACGAGCUGUGAAAUGCUGUUUUUCACGAGAAUCUUAAAACUCAAAAGACUUGGCGGUAUCUUAGGUCCUUCUAGGGGAACCUGUCCUAUAAUCGAUAGUCCACGAUUUAUCUUUCCUUUUCUUGAAAAUAUUCAGCUUGUAUACCGUCGUCGUCAGAUUACCUUUAAGAGUUAAAUAAGUUAUCAGGRGGAGUAGUGUCUUUAAUACUUACUUUGGCUUUAGUGGCUUAAAGCGGGUGUAAAAGAUAGUUUUCUAGAUGUCAGAUCAAGGUGCAGCUUAUGAGGAGGUAGAGAUGGGUUACAAUAAUUAUUUAUUAUUUACGGAUUUCUUAUUGAAAUUAUAAGAACUAAAGGCGGACUUAGAAGUAAUUAAUAAUGGAAAAUAGAAAGUUCCGGCGAAAAUGGCACUAAGAUGUG